Molecule: ribosomal RNA, 1173 nt
Filed under: uncultured Shigella sp.
Lineage: Bacteria; Pseudomonadati; Pseudomonadota; Gammaproteobacteria; Enterobacterales; Enterobacteriaceae
Description: bacterial SSU rRNA
Rfam family: Bacterial small subunit ribosomal RNA
Source: RNAcentral
GACCAGCCACACUGGAACUGAGACACGGUCCAGACUCCUACGGGAGGCAGCAGUGGGGAAUAUUGCACAAUGGGCGCAAGCCUGAUGCAGGCGAGGUCGCGUGUAUGAAGAAGGCCUUCGGGUUGUAAAGUACUUUCAGCGGGGAGGAAGGGAGUAAAGUUAAUACCUUUGCUCAUUGACGUUACCCGCAGAAGAAGCACCGGCUAACUCCGUGCCAGCAGCCGCGGUAAUACGGAGGGUGCAAGCGUUAAUCGGAAUUACUGGGCGUAAAGCGCACGCAGGCGGUUUGUUAAGUCAGACGUGAAAUCCCCGGGCUCAACCUGGGAACUGCAUCUGAUACUGGCAAGCUUGAGUCUCGUAGAGGGGGGUAGAAUUCCAGGUGUAGCGGUGAAAUUGUUGGAGAUCUGGAGGAAUNACNCGGUGGCGAAGGCGGCCCCCUGGACGAAGACUGACGCUCAGGUGCGAAAGCGUGGGGAACNAACAGGAUUAGAUACCCUGGUAGUCCACGCCGUAAACGAUGUCGACUUGGAGGUUGUGCCCUUGAGGCGUGGCUUCCGGAGCUAACGCGUUAAGUCGACCGCCUGGGGAGUACGGCCGCAAGGUUAUCACUCAAAUGAAUUGACGGGGGCCCGCACAAGCGGUGGAGCAUGUGGUUUAAUUCGAUGCAACGCGAAGAACCUUACCUGGUCUUGACAUCCACGGAAGUUUUCAGAGAUGAGAAUGUGCCUUCGGGAACCGUGAGACAGGUGCUGCAUGGCUGUCGUCAGCUCGUGUUGUGAAAUGUUGGGUUAAGUCCCGCAACGAGCGCAACCCUUAUCCUUUGUUGCCAGCGGUCCGGCCGGGAACUCAAAGGAGACUGCCAGUGAUAAACUGGAGGAAGGUGUGUUAUGAGGGGGAAGUCAUCACGGCCCUUACGACCAGGGCUACACACGUGCUACAAUGGCGCAUACAAAGAGAAGCGACCUCGCGAGAGCAAGCGGACCUCAUAAAGUGCGUCGUAGUCCGGAUUGGAGUCUGCAACUCGACUCCAUGAAGUCGGAAUCGCUAGUAAUCGUGGAUCAGAAUGCCACGGUGAAUACGUUCUCGGGCCCUGUACACACCGCCCCGUCACCACCAUGGGAAGUGGGCUUGCAAAAAAGUAAGUAGUUUUAAGCUUUCGGGAGGGGCGCUUAC